Parelaphostrongylus tenuis is the source of this 74-nucleotide non-coding RNA. Lineage: Eukaryota; Metazoa; Nematoda; Chromadorea; Rhabditida; Metastrongylidae. The record is from the annotation of a GenBank genome assembly.
GCCUCGGUGAUGUAGUGAUAGCAGCACGCGUCCCCGGUAUUGAUGAAACGCGGGUUCGAUUUCCGCCCGAAGCC